GAUGAAGAACGCAGCGAAAUGCGAUAAGUAAUGCGAAUUGCAGAAUUCAGUGAGUCAUCGAAUCUUUGAACGCACAUUGCGCCCUGUGGUAUUCCGCAGGGCAUGCCUGUUCGAGCGUCAUUUCAACCCUCAAGCUCUGCUUGGUGUUGGGCCCUGCCCGCUGCGGCCGGCCCUAAAGACAGUGGCGGUGCCGCCUGGCCCUGAGCGUAGUACACCUCUCGCUCCAGUGCCCGGUGGUAGCCUGCCAGAACCCCAACUCUCGUGGUUGACCUCGGAUCAGGUAGGGAUACCCGCUGAACUUAAGCAUAUCAAUAAGCGGAGGA
RNAcentral lists this unclassified non-coding RNA (323 nucleotides) under soil metagenome. RNAcentral describes it as "partial contains 5.8S ribosomal RNA, internal transcribed spacer 2, and large subunit ribosomal RNA". The stretch from base 1 to 120 matches the Rfam family "5.8S ribosomal RNA", at positions 35 to 154 of the family's 154-position model. The record is from RNAcentral.